RNAcentral lists this ribosomal RNA (1441 nucleotides) under uncultured organism. Its description in RNAcentral is "16S ribosomal RNA". It matches the Rfam family "Bacterial small subunit ribosomal RNA". The record is from RNAcentral.
CUAGCUACAGGCUUAACACAUGCAAGUCGAGGGGCAGCAUGGUCUUAGCUUGCUAAGGCCGAUGGCGACCGGCGCACGGGUGAGUAACACGUAUCCAACCUGCCGUCUACUCUUGGACAGCCUUCUGAAAGGAAGAUUAAUACAAGAUGGCAUCAUGAGUCCGCAUGUUCACAUGAUUAAAGGUAUUCCGGUAGACGAUGGGGAUGCGUUCCAUUAGAUAGUAGGCGGGGUAACGGCCCACCUAGUCUUCGAUGGAUAGGGGUUCUGAGAGGAAGGUCCCCCACAUUGGAACUGAGACACGGUCCAAACUCCUACGGGAGGCAGCAGUGAGGAAUAUUGGUCAAUGGGCGAGAGCCUGAACCAGCCAAGUAGCGUGAAGGAUGACUGCCCUAUGGGUUGUAAACUUCUUUUAUAAAGGAAUAAAGUCGGGUAUGGAUACCCGUUUGCAUGUACUUUAUGAAUAAGGAUCGGCUAACUCCGUGCCAGCAGCCGCGGUAAUACGGAGGAUCCGAGCGUUAUCCGGAUUUAUUGGGUUUAAAGGGAGCGUAGAUGGAUGUUUAAGUCAGUUGUGAAAGUUUGCGGCUCAACCGUAAAAUUGCAGUUGAUACUGGAUAUCUUGAGUGCAGUUGAGGCAGGCGGAAUUCGUGGUGUAGCGGUGAAAUGCUUAGAUAUCACGAAGAACUCCGAUCGCGAAGGCAGCCUGCUAAGCUGCAACUGACAUUGAGGCUCGAAAGUGUGGGUAUCAAACAGGAUUAGAUACCCUGGUAGUCCACACGGUAAACGAUGAAUACUCGCUGUUUGCGAUAUACUGCAAGCGGCCAAGCGAAAGCGUUAAGUAUUCCACCUGGGGAGUACGCCGGCAACGGUGAAACUCAAAGGAAUUGACGGGGGCCCGCACAAGCGGAGGAACAUGUGGUUUAAUUCGAUGAUACGCGAGGAACCUUACCCGGGCUUAAAUUGCAGAUGAAUUACGGUGAAAGCCGUAAGCCGCAAGGCAUCUGUGAAGGUGCUGCAUGGUUGUCGUCAGCUCGUGCCGUGAGGUGUCGGCUUAAGUGCCAUAACGAGCGCAACCCUUGUUGUCAGUUACUAACAGGUUCCGCUGAGGACUCUGACAAGACUGCCAUCGUAAGAUGUGAGGAAGGUGGGGAUGACGUCAAAUCAGCACGGCCCUUACGUCCGGGGCUACACACGUGUUACAAUGGGGGGUACAGAGGGCCGCUACCACGCGAGUGGAUGCCAAUCCCCAAAACCUCUCUCAGUUCGGACUGGAGUCUGCAACCCGACUCCACGAAGCUGGAUUCGCUAGUAAUCGCGCAUCAGCCACGGCGCGGUGAAUACGUUCCCGGGCCUUGUACACACCGCCCGUCAAGCCAUGGGAGCCGGGGGUACCUGAAGUGCGUAACCGCGAGGAGCGCCCUAGGGUAAAACUGGUGACUGGGGC